RNAcentral lists this unclassified non-coding RNA (288 nucleotides) under uncultured Bartonella sp. RNAcentral describes it as "partial 16S-23S ribosomal RNA intergenic spacer". Lineage: Bacteria; Pseudomonadati; Pseudomonadota; Alphaproteobacteria; Hyphomicrobiales; Bartonellaceae. The record is from RNAcentral.
UAAACCGGAAAACCUUCCCCGGUAUCAUUUUAAAUCAGAAGAAAAACUUUUUAGUGGAUAAACCGGAAAACCUUCCCCGGCAUUAUCUUAAAAGCAUCAUCUCAUAAAAGGACUUUUUCAUAAAACACGAGAGUAUUUUUUUCUGAAAGUCCUCCCUGCACAACUUGUUUUGCAGAGCUUGUUUUGCGUAGAUCGCCAGAAGGCUUGGGAUCAUCAUCUGAAGAAAGAGAUGAGGCUUUAUUUUAAGAGAUCGCCAGAAGGCUUGGGAUCAUCAUCUGAAGAAAGAGA